This 324-nucleotide ribosomal RNA is filed under the name uncultured eukaryote. Its description in RNAcentral is "partial 18S ribosomal RNA". It matches the Rfam family "Eukaryotic small subunit ribosomal RNA", at positions 1470 to 1796 of the family's 1831-position model. The record is from RNAcentral.
CCCUUAGAUGUUCUGGGCUGCACGCGCGCUACACUGAUGCGAUCAACAAGUUUUUCCUAUGUCGAUAGACACGGGUAAUCUUUUGAACUCGCAUCGUGAUGGGGAUAGAUUAUUGUAAUUAUUAAUCUUCAACGAGGAAUUCCUAGUAGGUGCAAAUCAUCAGUUUGCAUCGAUUACGUCCCUGCCCUUUGUACACACCGCCCGUCGCUGCUACCGAUUGGUUGAUCUGGUGAAUUAUUCGGACUGCCGGCUGAAGGGGUUUCCUCAUCUGCCAGCGGAAAGUCUUGUUAACCCUAUCAACUAGAGGAAGCAGAAGCCGUAACA